Molecule: long non-coding RNA, 6205 nt
Filed under: Pan troglodytes (chimpanzee)
Lineage: Eukaryota; Metazoa; Chordata; Mammalia; Primates; Hominidae
Description: long non-coding RNA NONPTRT009473
Source: RNAcentral
UUCCAGAGAUGUUCUAUACAUACAAAAAGUACAAGCAAAUAACAUAUAACUUCCCCCUUUUUUACAAGUGGCAUUGCAGAGCCUGUCACCAUUAGCUUAUUUUUUCACUUAUUAACAUUCAGUACCAUAAAAAACUCAUUGCUUUUUAUGACUGCAUAGUACUCCACUGCAUGGAGGUUCCAAAAUGUAUUUCACCAUUCCUCAGUUGGUGCUAUUCAGGCUGCUCCCAGGCAUUCGUCAUCACAAGGAGGACUGCAAUGACUAACCUUCAGCAUAUGUUGUCUCUAGAUGUUCUGGAGCAUCUUUAGGAUAGAUUCCUAGAGAUAGAACUGCUGGGUCAAAGCAGGGUCUUUGUGACCUGUAUCUUGUGAUAUCAAUCCUGCUGGCCUCCUGUCUCACCCUGUGACUAAGAAUGCCUACCCUCCUGGAAUGCAGUCCAGCAAGUCUCAUCCUCAUUUUACACAGCCUUUAAUCAAGAAAACCUCUGACAGAAUUGCUGGAUCCAUUUUGCCACCAUGAAGAAAGCCAACUUGAAGGCAAAAACCCAGCAUAUAGAAAGGAGAAGAACUAGGAAAUUACAGAGACCAGAGCCUGUACCAACUGUACCCAGAGCCUUCAUUUACCACUGGAGUUUUUCAGUUUGUGAACCAAUGAGUUCCUUUUAUUAAGUCUGUUGGAGCUAGGCUUUUGUUCCUCACAACCAAAAAUAUCCUAAAUGAUACCACUGGAUAAAUGAUUUCCCGAAGGAAGUGGGCCUUGGAGUCAAAUUUGAAAAGAGAAGAUGUGUGAUGUGCUGUGUGGGAGGCUGGGAUCAUUUUUUUUCACCAAGAUUUUUAUAUUUAUAGGCUUUUAUAUUUAUAGGGGAAAAAACAGAUUCGGUACACUUCUUACUUCAGCUCAAUGAUCAUUUGCAGGACUUCUCAUUGCUUGACCUCUCAAAGAGCACUCAGUGAGACUCUGUACCAUUUAAUCCUCACCCCUGACUGUCAGUAGACUGCCAUGGAAACCCCAAGGAUGCCUAUCCUGUUGGACAUGCGGUCAGAGACUGGCUCCAAAGAUAUCUCCCAAAGAGCAAAAGCCACCAUCUUCCUGUUGGUGCCCAGACACAGGUGCAUGAGCUCCAAGGACUCCUUCCUAGGCCACCUCUCUGCUGCCUGAUCUAAACUCACCUCGUUUCUGGGAGCUGGUCUGAGAGUCUGCCUUGGAGAUGUGUUGGAUGGGAACUAGGGGUUUGUAGGCUCCAUUGUGAGCAAUACUGAUGGGAAAUGACCGCAACUAGUAUGGAUAUUUUGCAUAAAGCCCCUGAAAUCUGACAUGCUCAGGGUCAGAGCCAUGAACCACUGUCUUGACAAACCCCACGUACAUGGACUAAUAAGGAAGGUGUGGGCACCAUGGCGUUAGUGUUCAACUGGAGAGUGGGAAAGAGAUUUGCAUGUGCCACCAGCCCUGAUAGAGACAGUGGCAGAACACACUGAUUCUCAACAUUGCAGACACCUGCUGUCUUUGUCCCUAUGUAGGUUUCCCCCAAUCCAGGAAUGACUUCCUCUGGGGAUCUGUGGCUGAUGGUGCUAGGGUUUGUACCAGACCAAAUCAAGGUAACUAGAGCUUCCCCAGGUGAUUGUAACCCAUCUCCUAAACAAAACUUGCAUCGACUCGGUUGCAUUACAAUUUGAUUUUCCUGGGUGAUGUACUCAUCACAUUUUUUAAAAAAGGACUUAAAGAAAGACUUUAGAGACUAAAUUCUUGGUAUUUAUGCACCUCUUUCUGGAGUCACAGGUGGGCUCUGAUUCUCAUAACUGAUUGCCUUGACUUCUACCGGAGCAGAAGAAUGCCAGCUCAUUCUUCAAAUACAGUUAGUCUUCUGUUGGCAAUUAUGGAAAACAGCUCUACCUAGCGCAUGCGAAUGUGUGUGUGUGUGUGUGUGUGUGUGUGCGUGUGUGUGAUUUUGGGGAAGGCAACUGAGGUAGCUCACAGAAUCAAAAGGACAGCAGCUCCUCCCAGCCUCAGGAAGGAGAGGGGUUAGUCUGCCAUGAGGCCCUUACUUGGCAGCCCCAGUUGGAGAACCUUCUCACUAGGAUUCUCCCAAAAGACAGCUCAGCUCCCAUGUCUGCCUCUUGGUGCCUCUGCUCAAGUUUCAGAUCUCAGGGUGAGGGCACUGCAGUGGAUCAGGGAAGAGCAGGUGUGCAGGUGACCCAGGGAAUGGAGCGCUCUGAUUGGCUGAGGCUGAGUCAUAGGCCCCCUCCUAUAGGACAUCAAAGUCUUUGAAGAAAAUGCCAAUUAAAAGCACUGUUGGCUGGGCACUGUGGCUCAUGCCUAUAAUCCUAGCACUUUGGGAGGCCGAGGUGGGCAGAUCACUUGAGGUCAGGAGUUCGAGACCAGCCUGGCCAACAUGGUGAAACCCCGUCUCUACUAAAAAUACAAAAAUUAGCUGGGUAUGGUGGCGGGCACCUGUAAUCCCAACUACUCAGGAGGCUGAGGCAGGAGAAUCACUUGAACCUGGGAGGCGGAGGUUGCAGUGAGCCGAGAUUGUGCCACUGCACUCCAGCCUGGGCAACAGAUUGAGACUCCAUCUCAAAACAAAACAAACAAACCAAAAAAGCACUGUUGCUCAGAUAUCACCCCCUGUGUGAAACCUUGAUCCCUAAGGCAGAAUUGCUUGUUCCUCCAUGGCUUCUGUAGCACUUUGUAAAACAUUUGGAUGGAUCAAAGAGAGAAAAUUUUAUUCAACAAAAUUUUUCCAAGGACGGUACAUUUGUUUGCCAAGUGUUUGGUAAGCAAGUGAGACCUGUACAGUUUUGGUACAGGAAGGGCCCAUGAAUGUGGGCGGAACUAUUCCACAGGAGACAAGGAGAAGCUGUUCUCUGGAGGGAGGGAAUGGAGAGGGAGAGGUGGUUUAGGGAUCUGCAGGAUGGCAGAAUGCAUCCAGAAAUGACUUUCCUAUCAUUUCCCCACCACUGCCUCAAGCCCUUUUCUUCUACGAUUUUAUGAAACUCAUGGGAUAAAUGCUUGAAGUGAGUGGGCUAGAAGCCAGCAAAGGGACGCAGGGAUGUGCCCAGACACAUACAGGUGGAACGGAAGCAGCAGGCAGAUGGGGGGUGUCAGGAACAGAAAUGCUUUCCUAGGGCAACCUAGUUAGGUUUCGUUUAAGCUAAUCAGGAAGUAACCAGAGUCAUGGGGAGGCUGUAAAACUGAGGCAGGGACCAGAUUUCACCAAAUCAUUGUAGAAUGAGGGCAAGGAUGAAGGAGGGGUGGAGGUAGGUGCUUGCAGGAGGCACCUUGAUAUGGUUUGCCUGUGUCCCCACUCAAAUCUCAUCUUGAACUAUAGUUCCCAUAAUCCCCAUGCGUCGUGGGAGGGAGCUGGUGGGAGGUAAUUACCUCCAUGCUGUUCUCUUGAUAGUGAUUGAGUUCUCACAAGAUCUGAUGGUUUUAUAAGGGGCUUUCCCCACUUUGCUCUGUAUUUCUCCUUCCUGCCAUCAUGCGAAGAAGGAUAUGCUUGCUUCCUUUUCUGCCAUGAUUGUAAGUUUCCUGAGGCCUCCUCAGCCAUGAGGAAUUGUGAGUCAAUUAAGCAUCUUUCCUUUAUAAAUUACCCAGUCUCAGGUAUGUCUUUAUUGACAGCAUGAGAACAGACUAAUACAUACCUGAAAAGGAGAACACUUAUCACAUAAUGCUGUAAAUACAGGUCGGCAGUCUCUUCCCCACUGAACCAGAAGAAUAUGAUUUUUAAGAAUAAAAGAUAUCUUAUUGAUCAACAAUAUCUUAUUGAUCUUGACCCACUUAUUUCAAAACACACAAUAAAUAUUUGUAACUAUUCUUUUAAAAAUAGCAAUACCCAUUUAAAAAUAAUGAAAUCCAGACUAAAAGGACUUGGUAUGUACCAGGCACUAAGUGCGCUGCAUGCAUCUCCCCGCUUGCCAGUUGCCCAUCCCCUGCGCCUAGUGCUCCAUGCUUGCCUCUCUUACGGCACCCACAAAUGAAGCUGGAGGCAGAAACCAUACAGUCAUUUGAACACAGGAAGUUUCCUGUAAGGAAAUGAUUAAGUGGUGAGGAAGAAACUACAAAGAUACAAAGAGAACUCUCAAGGGUUCCCUAGGGCUCAGUACCCAGGGAAGGACCAACUCGGCUCCCCAAGGCUGGGCUUCAGACGUCUUUAGAGAAGAUGUGAUUGCAGCCACUGGCCGGAGGGGAAGUUCGUGGGUGGCCGGGGCCACAGUUGGCCCACAGUCCCCAGGCAGCUGGUCCUCUAGUGCACAGGAGCACCAAGACUGGUAGAUGGGUGACCAGAGAGAGCCAGGGUGCCAGGAGCUCACUCGCUGGUGGGGUGGCCGGGAGGUUGCUGUGCACCUUGCCCAUGGCACACAGGGCCCAUGGCACACGCCUCCAGGACACAGCCCCAGAGAGUCUGUGGUGUGGCACUUGCAGGAGUCAAGGCACUGAGCACGUGCCAUGGACUGAAUGCUUUUGUCCUUUGUCCCCUGAAAUCCACAUGUUAAAGCCUUAAUCCCCAAUGUGAUAGUAUGGAGGUGAGAUUUAGAUGAGGUUUCGGGAGGUUUAGAUGAGGUCGCAAUUGUAAGGCCCCCAUGAUGGGAUCAGUGCCCUUACAGGAAGAGACACCAGACCCCCCUCUCUCUCUGCACCAUGUGAGGACACAGCAAGGAGUGUUCUUCCCGCGAACCAGGAAGCAGGUCCUCACCGGGUAUCGAAUCUGCCAACACCUUGAUCUCAGACUUCCAGCUUCCAGAACUGUGAGACAGAAACGUGUGUUGCCUAAGCCAUUUGUUUUAACAGCCCAAACUGACUAAGACACUCAUCAGAGAAAAAGCAGCGCUGGACAUGUGUUACAGGCGGCAAGACUGAUUCCUUCAGACUCCUGCAGCAGCGGGAAGAGAUUCCAGUACCGACCAAGCUCAACCCCAACUGAGAAAACGGUGACCGAGGUCUUCAAAGAGAGAACAGAAAGGGAACAAAAAGGGACUGAAGGAGAAAUGAAGACAGAACGUGGGGGCCACGUGGAAAUGGAAAGUUCCAGAAGGGUGAGGGGAGAACUACUGAAAAUGGUUUAGCGGGGUGGGCUGGACGAGGUGCAUUUUGUGAUUUGGCUGCAUUGCAAAGUCUUGAGCCAAGACUCAGCCAGGGCUGGGGUCGCCUCUGGGGAUGCAGCUUAGUGCAGGUGGAAGCCAGGCUACAGUUUGGUGAAGCCUCUCAGCACAGUGUUGGGGUGAGUCCUCUACGCUCUGUGGAAUUCCCAGUUCACUGGAGGCUCGCUAGCAGGGCAAGUGUGGCCCGAAGGUGCACUGUCCAUGUCAGGCAGGCAUGCAGGGAAGCCGGGGAGCUGACAGCCUGCUGGGGGCAGGGCAGUGGGUGGCCUGGGGUGCCUUGGGUCCCAUCAGCAGGGUCAUGGGAAACAGCCUCCAGGCUGCACAGUGGUGGACAGCAGUGCUGGCUCCCCCUGUACCUGCCCACCAGCCUUGGCCCUCCUAGGCCCCGAAGGAUCGUUUCCUGCUGUCUGGUGACUGUAGACCAGCCCUAGCCCAGGAAACCCUAUAAAAUUCUCCUCCAACUAUUUCUCCUGGAGAAGACAAGAGUGCCAAUGGAUUACUACAGUGCAGGGCAAUUGAGCAAAGAUGGGGGUGAACUGGGGUCCCAUGGGAGCAGGGAGGAGGGGCCAGGGAACCCUGGCCAGAAAUAGGAAAGCAGUAAUGGAAGGGACGACUCAGGAGAGGGAGUGCCCAUCUCAGAGCCUUUCAGGAACCUGGCAUUUAAUAAAUGCCUCCUCCAGAGGGAAGGAUUCAGGCAGAUCACUUCUAGAAGGGGUCACGGCCUCUCCAGGUUCUGCAUGGUCCACAGCAUAUGUACAGUCCCCAGAAGCUAGACUCCUUCCAGGCCUGGUGUGGAGGGAACCUAAGUGUGUGAUGGAGGAGAGUCUUCCACGGGCUAUGAACUCUUUGUAAAAAACAAAACAAAACAAAACAAAAAAACAGUACGCAUGCGAUGCUGGGGGCUUAGGACAAUAUCUUAAAACAGAGCUGAAACAUUGGUGGAUAAACCUCAGGACAGGCAGGAAAAGAGCUGUAGCUCGUCCACCAUCAGCAUUAGCAAUGCAAUCAGACACAACGGAAAAUCAAUGAAGUAAAACCAACCAGCAGGAUUAUGUUAUUGAGCCUCCAAUAAAUGUCUUAAGUGUCCAAUAAAGCCAUAUCGUUUUGAU